Molecule: long non-coding RNA, 505 nt
Organism: Stomoxys calcitrans (stable fly)
Lineage: Eukaryota; Metazoa; Arthropoda; Insecta; Diptera; Muscidae
Exons: 3
Source: RefSeq, a predicted model, not a curated record
UUAAUUGCAAAUAUUCAUAAUAAAUUUGUUUUCUUCACAGCAACUGAACGAUUGAAAACGAGCAGAGGUGGGGAAAGACGCAAAACUGUUUGAGUCUAAUUAGUCAGCUUCUUGACUACAGGAUUUCGACAUGUAAAAGUUUUAAAAGAAAUGCCUACAGAUAUAUGAACUUGCAAAAGCUUACCAACCAGGAGAUUUAGCAAAGAGAGAUUUUGCUGGGUAUAGAUUCAUUUCCAUUAUCAAUGAUAAAGGUGAUGGAGUUAAAAAUAGAACUGCACUAUUAAAUAUAAAUCUAAUCGGAUGAGUUAUACGUAUCCAUUGACGCGUUUUUAUCCUUGUUGCUCAUGGUUACAUGUGGCUUUGAUUAUAUUCACCGGAGUUGGGAUGUUCCGAAUAAAUUGUCUACAAUGAAAUAAAAAAUUUAUUUAUGUAACUAAAAAAUUAUUUAAAUAGGACUUACCUAAAGUGGAUAUGUAUCUGCUGCUUUGUACAUUUUUCUGCUGCA